UCCUACUAUUAAGAAAUCAAAAGACGCCUGUGAUUUUAACCUAACGAGUUAUUAUUACUAGCGGGUCGGAUUGUGACUUUUGAUAUCAGAAUCGAUUCACCAGCCGGAAGUGUGAGAUGAAUCUUGACUAACAGACUAAGCUAAGAUCGGUGAAUGACAGACUAAAUUAGGGUCGGAAUGACAAGGUUUGCAAGACAAAUCUCAUAUUGUCUGGUGAUCUUGGACUGUAUGUGUUCAGGGCGAGUGCCACAAGCGUAUAAAAUUAUUAUUUUAAUUUUUUAGAAUUUAGAAUUUAAAAUCUAUAAUUUUAGAAUUUAAAAUUUAAGAUUUAGAGCAUAAUAUUUAGAUUUUUAAAGUGAUG
This 361-nucleotide long non-coding RNA is filed under the name Ananas comosus (pineapple). RNAcentral's name for it is "long non-coding RNA (ACOM_LNC044082)". The record is from RNAcentral. Lineage: Eukaryota; Viridiplantae; Streptophyta; Magnoliopsida; Poales; Bromeliaceae.